GACGAACGCUGGCGGCGUGCUUAACACAUGCAAGUCGAACGGAAAGGCCCUGCUUUUGUGGGGUGCUCGAGUGGCGAACGGGUGAGUAACACGUGAGUAACCUGCCCUUGACUUUGGGAUAACUUCAGGAAACUGGGGCUAAUACCGGAUAGGAGCUCCUGCUGCAUGGUGGGGGUUGGAAAGUUUCGGCGGUUGGGGAUGGACUCGCGGCUUAUCAGCUUGUUGGUGGGGUAGUGGCUUACCAAGGCUUUGACGGGUAGCCGGCCUGAGAGGGUGACCGGCCACAUUGGGACUGAGAUACGGCCCAGACUCCUACGGGAGGCAGCAGUGGGGAAUAUUGCACAAUGGGCGGAAGCCUGAUGCAGCAACGCCGCGUGCGGGAUGACGGCCUUCGGGUUGUAAACCGCUUUCGCCUGUGACGAAGCGUGAGUGGUGGUAAUGGGUAAAGAAGCACCGGCUAACUACGUG
This 468-nucleotide ribosomal RNA is filed under the name uncultured bacterium. Its description in RNAcentral is "partial 16S ribosomal RNA". It matches the Rfam family "Bacterial small subunit ribosomal RNA", at positions 28 to 507 of the family's 1533-position model. The record is from RNAcentral.